This 236-nucleotide ribosomal RNA is filed under the name uncultured Candidatus Saccharibacteria bacterium. RNAcentral's name for it is "partial 16S ribosomal RNA". It matches the Rfam family "Bacterial small subunit ribosomal RNA", at positions 584 to 818 of the family's 1533-position model. Lineage: Bacteria; Candidatus Saccharimonadota. The record is from RNAcentral.
UAAGUGAAUAGUGAAAUCUGGCGGCUCAACCGUACAGACUAUUAUUCAAACUGGCAAACUCGAGAAUAGCAGAGGUAACUGGAAUUUCUGAAGUAGGGGUAAUAUCCGUAGAUAUCAGAAGGAACACCAAUGGCGUAGGCAGGUUACUGGGCUAUUUCUGACACUGAGGCACGAAAGCGUGGGGAGCGAACCGGAUUAGAUACCCGGGUAGUCCACGCCGUAAACGAUGGAUACUA